GCGUCUGUAGCUCAGCUGGAUAGAGCACGAGUCUUCGAAAUUCGGUGUCGUUGGUUCAAGUCCAAUCAGGCGCACCA
This 77-nucleotide transfer RNA is filed under the name Bacillota bacterium. Its description in RNAcentral is "tRNA-Arg". It matches the Rfam family "tRNA". Rfam says of the family: Transfer RNA (tRNA) molecules are approximately 80 nucleotides in length. The record is from RNAcentral. RNAcentral also lists the same sequence under 1 other name. Lineage: Bacteria; Bacillati; Bacillota.